AGCAGCCGCGGUAAUUCCAGCUCCAAUAGCGUAUAUUAAAGUUGUUGCAGUUAAAAAGCUCGUAGUUGAAUUUCGGGAUCAAAUUGUCGGUCGUGCCUCGGUACGUACUGGUAUUAUUGGUUCCUCCCUUCUGACGAACCACGAUGUCAUUAAUUUGGUGUCAUGGGAAAUCAGGACUGUUACUUUGAAAAAAUUAGAGUGUUUAAAGCAGGCUCGCGCUUGAAUACAUUAGCAUGGAAUAAUGAAAUAGGACGUUUGAUUCUAUUUUGUUGGUUUCUAGGAUCGACGUAAUGAUUAAUAGGGAUAGUUGGGGGCAUUAGUAUUCAAUUGUCAGAGGUGAAAUUCUUGGAUUUAUUGAAGACUAACUACUGCGAAAGCAUUUGCCAAGGAUGUUUUCAUUAAUCAAGAACGAAAGUUAGGGGAUCGAAGACGAUCAGAUACCGUCGUAGUCUUAACCAUAAACUAUGCCGACUAGGGAUCGGAUGAUGUUAAUUUUUUAAUGACUCAUUCGGCGCCUUAC
Molecule: ribosomal RNA, 520 nt
Filed under: uncultured Glomus
Lineage: Eukaryota; Fungi; Glomeromycota; Glomeromycetes; Glomerales; Glomeraceae
Description: SSU rRNA
Rfam family: Eukaryotic small subunit ribosomal RNA
Source: RNAcentral